Molecule: long non-coding RNA, 752 nt
Organism: Nicotiana tabacum (common tobacco)
Lineage: Eukaryota; Viridiplantae; Streptophyta; Magnoliopsida; Solanales; Solanaceae
Source: RefSeq, a predicted model, not a curated record
CUCGAGAAGAUUUAUUUUGUGUCUCAUACAACUUAUACUAGUUGUAUGAGACUCAUUUUUGUCUUACAAAUUUGUGGACCCCAAUAUACUUCUGGUCUACAGAAAUCUGGGUCCAUAAAACUGUGAGACAAAAAAGUUGCUCAUACAACUAGUAUCAGUUGUAUGAGACUCAAAAUAAAAUUUUUCGUCUCUCUCACUCCACGCAGAGACGAGUUUCCAUUCCCAGAAGACAUCAACUCACCUAGAAAGGGGCUUACAGUCUUCAGGAUCCAGCAGUACUAUGUUACGCCAGUCAUGGCAAAGUUUUCGACUAUCAUUCAGAGUAAUAUACUUCAUAUCUCCUAUCUACGCAUAUGAAAAGGCUAAAGGAAGACUAGUUACUCAUAAUGAGGUAUUUGAGGAAAUCCACAUGAAGAAGUUGAAGGAUAGAAUAAAAACGACUUGAGUCGAUCCGCGCGCGGAGACAACCCAUGUAAAAUUAAUGAGCUUUAUUUUAAACUAGCUUAUUUGUUGGUAACUUAUUAAUGAGCUUUUCAAAAUGCAAAGAGCUCCAAAAACUGUAAAAGUCUCAUUAGUUUUAAGUCUGAGGAUGUGGUGAAUGCUGAGAGCUGUAAGGAGUUUUAAGCUAGUUUAAUAGUACUGCUCAUUAGUACUGCUCUUUCUUCUAAUAGUACUGAUCUUUCUUAAGCCUUCUUCAGAGGCAAAGGAUGAAGUUAAUUUUCUUAUGAGUCCCCUAAAAUGAUGCAUUUGUU